AUGCACAUACUGUGAGCUCGAUGAGUAGGGCGGGACACGUGGUAUCCUGUCUGAAUAUGGGGGGACCAUCCUCCAAGGCUAAAUACUCCUGACUGACCGAUAGUGAACCAGUACCGUGAGGGAAAGGCGAAAAGAACCCCGGCGAGGGGAGUGAAAAAGAACCUGAAACCGUGUACGUACAAGCAGUGGGAGCCUCUUUUAUGGGGUGACUGCGUACCUUUUGUAUAAUGGGUCAGCGACUUAUAUUCUGUAGCAAGGUUAACCGAAUAGGGGAGCCGAAGGGAAACCGAGUCUUAACUGGGCGUUAAGUUGCAGGGUAUAGACCCGAAACCCGGUGAUCUAGCCAUGGGCAGGUUGAAGGUUGGGUAACACUAACUGGAGGACCGAACCGACUAAUGUUGAAAAAUUAGCGGAUGACUUGUGGCUGGGGGUGAAAGGCCAAUCAAACCGGGAGAUAGCUGGUUCUCCCCGAAAGCU
RNAcentral lists this ribosomal RNA (477 nucleotides) under Escherichia coli. RNAcentral's name for it is "partial 23S ribosomal RNA". It matches the Rfam family "Bacterial large subunit ribosomal RNA", at positions 388 to 867 of the family's 2925-position model. The record is from RNAcentral. Lineage: Bacteria; Pseudomonadati; Pseudomonadota; Gammaproteobacteria; Enterobacterales; Enterobacteriaceae.